UUAGGAGGUGAGGAAGACACAGGAGACAUAAUUUCAAUUCCAAGUCUUUUGAUACCGCAGCAGAAAAGUGUCCAGUCAGACAAAUCGGGAGGCAUAGCAGCUGGAACUGUAACAUCAAUUAUUGUUGUUAUUGCUGUGAUUUCAAUUCUCAUUUUCAUUCAUCGACGAAGGUUGUCUAAUAACAGUCCUCCAAGUCUUGAAUCACAAAACAUGGGAGGCGCGCAGGAUACACAGGAGGCGCAUAUCAACAACAAGACCUCUCAGUUUGUAAUGCACCAUGAAAUUGAGGUCGAAAACUUUAGUCCAAACAUUGGAAAGUUGAAUGUUUCCCAUGCAAUUAAUAACAAAACGUACGACCAUGUAAAUUCUAACCAAACCAAUUUAGAUUUCAACAAAUUAAAUACUAAAGUUGGUCAAGAAGAAUACGGAAUGGCGAAAAUUCAAAUUUUAACAGGGGAUUCUUCAGAAGUUGCAAUGUCAAGUAACUAUUGUUUGGCAAAACAAAUUCCAAGUAACACAGAAGAAGAAUCAGAUCCGUAUAUAAUUGAUAGAGACUAUGAUCAUCUAAAUAACGUUAAAAAAAUAGAGGACCCGAUAACAAAAGUAUACGA
Long non-coding RNA from Mytilus californianus (California mussel), 611 nucleotides. RefSeq lists it as uncharacterized. Lineage: Eukaryota; Metazoa; Mollusca; Bivalvia; Mytilida; Mytilidae. The transcript has 3 exons. The record is from RefSeq and is a predicted model, not a curated record.